This 1943-nucleotide long non-coding RNA is filed under the name Salmo salar (Atlantic salmon). Its description in RNAcentral is "lncRNA (ENSSSAG00000095474.1)". Lineage: Eukaryota; Metazoa; Chordata; Actinopteri; Salmoniformes; Salmonidae. The record is from RNAcentral.
UGAAGCAUUAUUUUGUUAAACUAAGACAAUCCAUAGACAGGUCAUUGAUGCUCUUCCUGAACUGAGGUAGGACCUAUAAUUUAAUGAAAUAAUCUCAAAUACAUUACUUUUAUCUUAUGAGAACUUUAUUUGAUCAAUAACUGUCAAAAACUGUUAUAUUUUGUGAUUUGUGAUUUAAAACUAGGUCUUGUGUUUCUGUUUUCAAUGAUAUAUUGUUGAAACUUUAUAGUCAAAUCCUACGUGUGCAAAUUAUCUGGAAGUCCAAAUUGAAGCCAUGAAAGACAGAGUGAUGUCCAGGACUAAGACACAAGAGACCAGUCAGAACAGUUCUGAGAACAGCCUGACAGACAUCCUCAGUGUCCGGAGUGCACACACACACACACAAUCUUAAUUUUUAGGGUUUUUUUACCUUUAUUUAAAUAGGCAAGUUAGUUAAGAACAAAUUCUUAUUUACAAUGACGGCCUACCCCGCCGCCCUAUGGGACCAGUGCCUUAGACCGCUGCGCCAAUCGGGAGCCCUAUUGAGACCUCAUGGCCUCCCAUGGACCAGAGAGGAUUAGCCAGCAACAUCCCAGCGUCUGCCCUGCCUGUCAUCCUAGUACCUCCACUGCCCUUUCAACCCUGCAAGGCAGUAACUGUAUCGUUUUUCUUUUGAUCUGAAGCCUGACACUGUUCAACACGUCAUGUCUCAUCCUCCAUCUUUUGAAUAAAGCUUCCUCUGCAUGAUUUUAUUCUAACAUCGUCCAUGUUUUUUUUGCAACCCUCAAAAACAAAUGUAGAUCCCCAUGUAACGACACGUGAUAUUCCACAAGGGGGCACUAAAGGUCUGUAACGAAAGGAGGUUGAACACUGUACCUUGAACACCAUCUGAACUUAUACACAGCCUCAACUAUUAAAAUGACAGAAAAUGUCAUAUCUGUUCUCACACAUUAAGAGCGAGAGAUAGAGAGCAAAGCAUAGAAGGAUGUUGGGUUACAUAUGAACACUUUCCAUCAUACUCUCAGGAAGGUUAGGUUAGUUAGGCUACAUGUGAUCGUGCGUCACCAUAACUGAAAGAAGGCCUUCUUUCUUUCACGGUUUCACGUCAUGGUGCAAGUAUUUGCAUAAACUGGGAAACAUUUGCAUACAUUUCAAUUUCCCUGGCCGGCAGUGAAGGGGUUAAUCAGCUGUGUGCUCUCAGUUUACGCUCACUAGCAGAAUCUGUCUGCCACAGCUGCUGCGCAAAGGCCAAUCUUCUAUCACAGAGAGCGCUGGCAACCAGAGGUGUUUCCAGAGGCCAACAACACAGAGCAGGUUAGAGAAGCUUCAAACCUAACCGCACGCACACACUCAUAACUCCCUGUUGGGGUGAGUCUAUCUACAAAUAAACACAGCAAGAGGAUUACAACAGCUAACACAGGAAGCUGAAAUCCUGGGGUCCGCCUUAUGAUCACUCAGUUCUACCACAUUUUGAAAAGGUGCUUUUCAUCCAUGACCAGGCCAUGUUUUGGCCAUUUUGCUGCACUAGGCAUGACAAUUGCAGACAUUCUCCAAUCCGGCAAAGAAAUAGGCCUAUAGUGUACAGUGUCGGCCUAUAAUGUAAUUUUAUAACUAUGCCUACCAUAAGAUAGCCUACCAUUUGUAAAACAUGCAGUUGUGUUGGCUUUAUUAACCGAGUCCUGAUUCCUGACAAAAGCUUAUAGUGACUUGUCCUUUAAGAUAUGAACAUCAGUUACACAUCAGCUACCCAAGUUUAUUAUGAGUUUUCUUGAGGAUUUUUGCAAAGAGACCAAUGCUGAUGUAAAGGCCUAAGUCUUCACAGCAGUACAAACCUGAAAUUACAUUUACAUUUAAGUCAUUUAGCAGACGCUCUUAUCCAGAGCGACUUACAAAUUGGUGCAUUCACCUUAUGAUAUCCAGUGGAACAACCACUUUACAAUAGUGCAUCUAAAUCUUUUAGGGGG